RNAcentral lists this transfer RNA (61 nucleotides) under marine eukaryotic metagenome. It matches the Rfam family "tRNA", at positions 8 to 63 of the family's 71-position model. From Rfam's summary of the family: Transfer RNA (tRNA) molecules are approximately 80 nucleotides in length. The record is from RNAcentral.
CAUAGCUCAGUUGGUUAGAGCAUCUGACUGUUAAUCAGAGGGUCCCUGGUUCAAGUCCAGG